UUUGUUGACCUCCAAGGUAAAACAUGCCAGUGGGCGUGCGACUCCAUCAUUGGGGUAUUGGGGUUAAACUAUCAGUGUGCUGACCACGUCUUUCAAGUCCAGAAGUAUGCGCGGAACGACUUUCAGGCUCAAAUGGCUAGAUUACGUGAAAUAACUAUUUCAGGUAAGUCAGUACAAUGAGGCAUGUUACUUCCCCUAUUUUGGAGCGGGUCAUUUCUGCUCAAAUAUUGCUCUUCAUGAGUUCACGAUGACUGUAACGGGGUCAGAGCUCAUAGGGACCUAAGGUAUUUCUCAGUCUCAGAAUUGCAGGAAUGUUUCCUGGGGAGUCCAUGUGUGGACUUCAGGGAACCUCUGUAGAGGUUAAACCCUAAACAGGGGAAACCCUAUUCCCAAAAUGUAUAGGGAAGUGUCCGAUCCAAACAGCUGGGGAAACUCUGGGCCAGUUGUCCAAGGUGAGUUCACCAUGAAAAGAGAGACUUGUGUUUGAUUAUCACUGUCGUUCGUCUGGCUGGAACAUUCUAUUCCGUUUAUACACACAUAUCCAUCUCUCACUUUACCUGGUAUCAGUAUGGUGGUAAUGAGGUCACCUCUGUCACUGUCUUGUGGCAAGUUUCCUAACCAUUCUGAACCUCUGUUUUCUCAUCUAGUGAAAGAAGAAAAGAAUAUCUAUUAAAUAAAAUUAAUCAACACUUAAGGGUGGGCACAUGUGAAACUAGACUACCAAGCACCCAUUAGAUGCUUAACAAACAAAUGCUUCUAAAAGUAAGCUCAUUAAACAUUAAUAUUUAUAUAUAAUUAUAAAGUAUUCAAGAUUCAUAAAUGAUAUGAAGACUUAUCUUAUGCAUUAUUCCUGGUAUUAUAUUCCCCGUAAGCUGUGAACGAUCCAUCAAAUGGUGAAAAUUUAUGAUUGAUGGACUUUGUCUGUUUUCUUCCAGGUGUAUUUCUAUCAGGGAAUGCUUUGAAAGCCAUUACGAGGAAAAUUUUGCUGUGUCUGUGUUUGAAGAUAGCGUGCUGACCCCAUUUCUGUUCACACUUGGUUUUGAUUGAGAAUAAUAGUCUAUUAUAAAGGCUAAUGUUUGCUACGUCAUGUACGCGGCAAAACUGCCUUGGGUCUGCGUCUUGGGGCUUCUCUUUGUAGAAUCAGCUGCUUUCCUCUUUUCUUUUAAAUCUUUAUGGUUCUUGUUUUUACUACUCUAACUGUAAUAUGUGAUUAUUGUAAAUACUAUCGAGACAUUACAGAAACACAGGGCCUAUAAAGAACACAUUUUCUGCAAUCCCAACCUUCUCUCAAAGGUUUGGCAUAUUGUGUUCAUUUUAUUUAAUGAAUAUACUGGUGUGUGUGUGUGUGUGUGUGUGUUAACAAAAAUGGCCCAUACUAACAUGUUCUGCAAUUGAUUUUUAUAACCUUUAUACAUCUUAGAUAAGCUCUAUGUCAAUCUGCCUGCUCUCUGUCUCUGUCUUUGUAUCUCUCUCUCUAACUCUUGUGUAGUAUUCCACAGCGAGGUAUCCCUGUUGUAACCCCAAGCUUCCUUUCCAGGUCGCCUGCUGCCUUUGAUCCACAAGGUAGAUCAAAGAUUUCAUCCAUGCAAGGUCUCUCCAAGACUGGAGAAAAAGAAGCAGUAAGUGAGAGUGUUCUCGCGAGAGACUGCAGAGCAGUGAGCAGUCAUGGGUGGUUGACAGAGGAGGCUGAGGACCUGGAAACAUUGUGGACAGUGCUCCUUGGCAGGUUGAAUUUCCUUUUUGAACCCAGCUUUCUUGGCAUUGACCCUUAGUUCUCUGGUUUGUUACUGUCCUAGUGAUUGACACAGUAUCUCCUUGUUCUGUUCCACAUGGAGCGACCUCCUUCCUUGAUCCCUACCCCAAAUCGGACCUGUCUCUAGACCCACUUGCAGGUGACAAAAAUGGAUUCCGGAUGAAUGAAGCAGGAGAGCUUAUGGAGGGAAAAUUAAAGAGCUCAAGAACCACCAAGGCUGCUGGCGAAUCAGGCCGUCUCCUAGGAGACUGGGAGACCAGAGGGAAAUGAUGUGGAGUCACUGCUGGCUGGUGGGUGGCCCAUGGGUCACGGGUCUGCACCACCACCACUGCCCCUGCAGGCUGGUCCUGCCUCCCGUGGGGACCAAAACACAUAAGAAGGGGUUCGAGAUCCUAGAAAUAAAAUGCUGGCCACCACAGCUCAUUAGAAUGCUUUGGUAAACGAGGAGCUAUCUUUCUGGAUCUCUCUCUCUCUCUGCCUGUUCUUUCUCCUUCCACUCAAGGCUCUCUAGGAGGAGCUGUCCUGGAUAGAGACCUUUCCCAUUGCUGAUCUGAGCUGUGUUCCUCCGUCGCCCGCUUUCCACUGUCUGCCUCUUAGAAGGAAGAGUGGGUUGCAAUCAAAUUUUUGGAGGGAGCUACGAUCACUUUGGUUUUAAGCAUUUUGUUGCCCGUGACUUCACUUUUACCUAUUUUAAUCUCCAUGACAACCCUAGGAAGUGGGUAUUGUUAUUCCCACUUUACAGAUGGAAAGUCGAAGCCUUAGGGAGGUUAUGUGAUUCCAAGAUUGCACAUCUAGAAAUGGAGGAGACAGAUUUCAAACUCAGGGCUGUCUGAUUCCAAAGUCUGUGUUCUUUUUUUUUUUUUUU
Leopardus geoffroyi (Geoffroy's cat) is the source of this 2618-nucleotide long non-coding RNA. RefSeq lists it as uncharacterized. Lineage: Eukaryota; Metazoa; Chordata; Mammalia; Carnivora; Felidae. The transcript has 3 exons. The record is from RefSeq and is a predicted model, not a curated record.